CGCGUAGGUGGUAUCGUGUGUCGAGUGUGAAAUCCCAUGGCUCAACCAUGGAAUGGCACUCGAAACUGCGGAACUAGAGUGCAGGAGGGGAGAGUGGAAUUCUCGGUGUAGCGGUGAAAUGCGUUGAUAUCGAGAAGAACACCGGCGGCGAAGGCGACUCUCUGGAAUGCAACUGACACUGAGGCGCGAAAGUCGGGGAGCAAACA
RNAcentral lists this ribosomal RNA (206 nucleotides) under uncultured bacterium. Its description in RNAcentral is "partial 16S ribosomal RNA". It matches the Rfam family "Bacterial small subunit ribosomal RNA", at positions 568 to 774 of the family's 1533-position model. The record is from RNAcentral.